GAUGAACGCUAGCUACAGGCUUAACACAUGCAAGUCGCAGGGUAACAUGAGGAAAGCUUGCUUUCCUUGAUGACGACUGGCGCACGGGUGAGUAACGCGUAUCCAACCUUCCCAUAACUACGGGAUAACCCGUUGAAAGACGGCCUAAUACCGUAUGAUAUCGUUUGCUGACAUCAAAUAACGAUUAAAGGUUUAGCGGUUAUGGAUGGGGAUGCGUCUGAUUAGCUUGUUGGCGGGGUAACGGCCCACCAAGGCGACGAUCAGUAGGGGUUCUGAGAGGAAGGUCCCCCACAUUGGAACUGAGACACGGUCCAAACGCCUACGGGAGGAAGCAGUGAGGAAUAUUGGUCAAUGGGCGAGAGCCUGAACCAGCCAAGUAGCGUGCAGGACGACGGCCCUAUGGGUUGUAAACUGCUUUUAUGUGGGGAUAAAGUGCGUGACGUGUCAUGCAUUGCAGGUACCACAUGAAUAAGGACCGGCUAAUUCCGUG
RNAcentral lists this ribosomal RNA (490 nucleotides) under uncultured bacterium. RNAcentral's name for it is "partial 16S ribosomal RNA". It matches the Rfam family "Bacterial small subunit ribosomal RNA", at positions 28 to 507 of the family's 1533-position model. The record is from RNAcentral.